AUUGAACGCUGGCGGCAGGCCUAACACAUGCCAGUCGAGCGGAUGAAGGGAGCUUGCUCCUGGAUUCAGUGGCGGACGGGUGAGUAAUGCCUAGGAAUCUGCCUGGUAGUGGGGGAUAACGUCCGGAAACGGGCGCUAAUACCGCAUACGUCCUGAGGGAGAAAGUGGGGGAUCUUCGGACCUCACGCUAUCAGAUGAGCCUAGGUCGGAUUAGCUAGUUGGUGGGGUAAAGGCCUACCAAGGCGACGAUCCGUAACUGGUCUGAGAGGAUGAUCAGUCACACUGGAACUGAGACACGGUCCAGACUCCUACGGGAGGCAGCAGUGGGGAAUAUUGGACAAUGGGCGAAAGCCUGAUCCAGCCAUGCCGCGUGUGUGAAGAAGGUCUUCGGAUUGUAAAGCACUUUAAGUUGGGAGGAAGGGCAGUAAGUUAAUACCUUGCUGUUUUGACGUGACCAACAGAAUAAGCACCGGCUAACUUCGU
Molecule: ribosomal RNA, 483 nt
Filed under: uncultured bacterium
Lineage: Bacteria
Description: partial 16S ribosomal RNA
Rfam family: Bacterial small subunit ribosomal RNA
Source: RNAcentral